AAAUUAGAAUUUAAAAAUAUAUAUAUUACUUAAAAUAUAAAAUAGUAUAUAUAUCCAUUUAUUUAAUACUUAUGUUUGAUAGUUUUAUAAGACAAUUAUGAGUGAAUGUAUUAUUUUUAUUUUUAUUUGAUAGGAAUAUUCGUAAAGAUAUCUACCAUUACAUAAUUUUUAUAAUUUUAUAUAAGUAUAAUUUAUAUUACAUUAGGAGUGAGAUUAUCUAAAUAUUUUUUAAGGAUAUAAGAGUUAUCCUAAAGAUUAUUUAUUGAUUAAACUUAAUUUGUAUAUAUAAUGCUAGGAGUUAAAAAAAAAUCAAGCCAUUUAAUAUCAAAGUGCAUUCAUUAUUUAUAAGUAAAGAAUACUAUCUUACCUUACAUUAUUCUUAUUUUAUUUUUGAAACAUCAAGGGAGUUAACCACUUGAGCAAUAGGUUUCUAACAAAUAUAAAAGUAAUUUUAUUGCAUAGGAUUGAACCCAUAACCAUUGCAUUUACUUUGGAUAGCUUAUGUCCUCAUUUAGUAGUUUAAUAUCAGCUCAAAUCAUUACCUUACAUUAUAAGUUAUUUAUAUGCAUCU
Molecule: long non-coding RNA, 571 nt
Filed under: Physcomitrium patens
Lineage: Eukaryota; Viridiplantae; Streptophyta; Bryopsida; Funariales; Funariaceae
Description: long non-coding RNA (PPAT_LNC010120)
Source: RNAcentral